AGUGAACGCUGGCGGUAGGCCUAACACAUGCAAGUCGAACGGCAGCACAGUAAGAGCUUGCUCUUACGGGUGGCGAGUGGCGGACGGGUGAGGAAUACAUCGGAAUCUACUUUUUCGUGGGGGAUAACGUAGUGAAACUUACGCUAAUACCGCAUACGACCUACGGGUGAAAGCAGGGGAUCUUCGGACCUUGCGCGAUUGAAUGAGCCGAUGUCGGAUUAGCUAGUUGGCGGGGUAAAGGCCCACCAAGGCGACGAUCCGUAGCUGGUCUGAGAGGAUGAUCAGCCACACUGGAACUGAGAAACGGUCCAGACUCCUACGGGAGGCAGCAGUGGGGAAUAUUGGACAAUGGGCGCAAGCCUGAUCCAGCCAUACCGCGUGGGUGAAGAAGGCCUUCGGGUUGUAAAGCCCUUUUGUUGGGAAAGAAAAGCAGCAGGUUAAUACCCCGCUGUUCUGACGGUACCCAAAGAAUAAGCACCGGCUAACUUCGUG
This 492-nucleotide ribosomal RNA is filed under the name uncultured bacterium. RNAcentral's name for it is "partial 16S ribosomal RNA". It matches the Rfam family "Bacterial small subunit ribosomal RNA", at positions 29 to 507 of the family's 1533-position model. The record is from RNAcentral.